UUUAUAUGAGAGUUUGAUCCUGGCUCAGGAUGAACGCCGGCGGUGUGCCUAAUACAUGCAAGUCGAGCGCACUGGCCCAACUGAUAUGACGUGCUUGCACUGAAUUGACGUUGGAUUCCCAGUGAGCGGCGGACGGGUGAGUAACACGUGGGCAACCUGCCCUGAAGCGGGGGAUAACAUCUGGAAACAGGUGCUAAUACCGCAUAACAACGAAAACCACAUGGUUUUCGUUUCAAAGAUGGUUUCGGCUAUCACUUCAGGAUGGGCCCGCGGUGCAUUAGCUAGUUGGUAAGGUAACGGCUU
RNAcentral lists this ribosomal RNA (303 nucleotides) under Lactiplantibacillus plantarum. RNAcentral's name for it is "Lactobacillus plantarum partial 16S ribosomal RNA". It matches the Rfam family "Bacterial small subunit ribosomal RNA", at positions 1 to 266 of the family's 1533-position model. The record is from RNAcentral. Lineage: Bacteria; Bacillati; Bacillota; Bacilli; Lactobacillales; Lactobacillaceae.